This 446-nucleotide ribosomal RNA is filed under the name uncultured Chloroflexota bacterium. Its description in RNAcentral is "bacterial SSU rRNA". It matches the Rfam family "Bacterial small subunit ribosomal RNA", at positions 925 to 1382 of the family's 1533-position model. Lineage: Bacteria; Bacillati; Chloroflexota. The record is from RNAcentral.
ACAAGCAGCGGAGCGUGUGGUUUAAUUCGAUGCAACGCGAAGAACCUUACCAGGGUUUGACAUGCUUAAAGUAGGAACUCGAAAGAGGGACGACCUGUAUCCAGUCAGGAGUUUGCACAGGUGCUGCAUGGCUGUCGUCAGCUCGUGCCGUGAGGUGUUAGGUUAAGUCCUGCAACGAGCGCAACCCUCGUCGCUAGUUGUUUUCUCUAGCGAUACUGCCCGUAUAACGUGGAGGAAGGUGGGGAUGACGUCAAGUCAGCAUGGCCCUUACAUCCUGGGCUACACACACGCUACAAUGGAUGAUACAACAGGUUGCAAUAGAGUGAUCUGGAGCUAAUCCUCAAAAUCAUCCUCAGUACGGAUUGCAGGCUGCAACUGCCUGCAUGAAGUUGGAGUUGCUAGUAAACGCAGGUCAGCACACUGCGUUGAAUACGUUCUCGGGCCUU